CUCUUAUUCCCUAAUCUUUCUUUUGCCAGUUUUUACAGUUUUUUCUUCCUGACCUAAAAGAUCCCCAGAGUCUUGGGAUUUAUUUAGACAUUAGGAUAAGUUGUGUGCUUUCUAUCUCACUAAGAAUGAAAGUGAAAGUGCCUCAGUUCUUUUAUAGCCCCUGGUUCAAGACAAACACAGUCACUUCAUGCUGCAGCUCCCACUGAACAAACUGCACCAAGAAACCAUUUUACCUUGUUUGUUUUUCCGAAGCCACACAUUUACAGCAAAGACGUCAACAUGUACCAGACUUCUGGAGUUAAAGUCCACACCAUCACUACUGGGGAGACGUUUGGUGCUGAUAAAGAACUGCUGAAUAAAGUGAAGAGGAGGGUUCAGCUGACCGUCACACACUGGAUGGAAAGCCGCUUCAUCAUCGUUUUCUGUCCCAUCACCUCUCGCGUUGGAUCAGAUGUGGAAGCGGCCAUGACCAAGGUUCCAGGAGAUCAAAAUGUCAUUCUGGUUCUGAUGCACCACACCCGAGAUGAGGGCUACUCCACCGCUGGAGUGAGCUGGUGUGACCAAUACCGCAACGUCAUCCUGGAUGUUCAUGUUCUCUUCCAUGAGACGGUGCCAGGAUUGCUGCUGUGUGCUAAAAAUACUGAGGCAGUCGAUCAAAUGAUCCAUGAAUUAGAUCAACGGUCUCAGAACCAACAGAUCAGGCAGAUCAGACCCAGGGAGCGAGGUCUAAUUAACAGGCUCGAUGAAUGCUGUUUCCCUUAUUGGAAGAUUGUACUCCCAUUUGUUGUGGUGGUGUUGUUCAUCUUACUUCUUGUCAUUUUCUUGGCGUAGUUUGGAGAUCAGCAAAUUAAAAAUAAAGUAUGUCCUGAUUAUUGUAUGCUCCAAUAAUUAAAAUGUUUACUCAUCAAAAUUCAUUAGAUUAUGUACUUUAACAAUAAAACAAUUGGGAAAAAAGAAUUUACUGCAUAGUACAAUGAUUGUGUUGCAACUAAUAAACAGAGAGACAAAGACUUGAGUUGAAGAGUGAUGAAUAUGCAUGAUAACAAAAAGCAAGGCUAUUAUGGAUAUAAUAUAUGUGCUUUUUAGUUUUUUACUUAGUUUAUUUUCUAGUUGGGCACAAAUUGAAAACUGAUUUUGAACUUUAAAAAAAGAUUUUUUGAUGCCUAACCCAGACAUGUUCUCUAUUACUAGUUUAUUCCUAACCUUAACUAAAGCUUAUUUCAAACCUUGUAACUAAAGCUAGCCCUUAGCCCUAAACAAGAGGUUCCACCAUAUUAGGACUUGGCUUUGGUCCCCAUAGAACUCUGGAAUGAAAUUAGAAAAGGUUGACGGAAAUGGCAAAAUUCGAAACAAUUUCACGAAAGUGUUUUCAUACUAGCUUGAGGUGGAUUUAGACUUAUUUUAAAAGAGACAAUGCGCUAAAAAGAUGAAAAGACUUUUUCUGAAUAAGUGCUGACAUAGCCAACAGUUUCUUAUUUAUUAUAGCCGUGCAUAAUGUCAGAAUCUGCAUAAUGGUUGAUUCUCUAUAUACCAUUAGAUAGGAACAUGCCUAAUUCACAUUUUCAUCUUUAUUUCUUUUUUGCAAAAUCUUUAAAGCUUCCUCAAAAUUCACGUAACAGUUGGAUGGAAACAUAGUUAUUGUCUUGUAUAAAAUAUGUUCUCACUGUGAAAUUGUCUUUUCCCUGCUGAAAAUGAAUCCUUGUGUGAACAUCUAAGUCUGGUCCUCUGUGCUUUAAUAAAAAUAGCUAAUAUCAUAAUAUCAGAGUAAGAUACAGUCUGGAUGAUAUCCAAUAGAUAUCAGGCAGGAAGAAAAAUAAAGCCUGCUAGGGGUGUUAAGGCGAACUAGCAUGGCAGCUGAUAAUAGGGUAUGAACGGUUUUCCUAUAAUGAUAAGUUGCUUUUCAACCACUAGUACAUUGAGCAGUGCAUACACGAGUCUGAUUGACAGCGCUAAGACACUCCUUCAUGGUGACUUCAUGGUAACAGGUUUAGCAAAUAUGCAAUAACAUAUUUUUGUAAAAAUUACAUACUGCAAUUUUAAUGCCAGUAAAGACGUAUCCAUUUGUUCUCUUAAAAUAAAAUGUAAACAAAAUAAAUAUUUUUUUUGUUGGAAACAGCCUUGUUUCUCAAAUUAAAGUGUGAAUCCUACCACAUCAAAUGUGUUUUUUCCUAUGCUAUCAUGUUUUUGUACUCCACUACAGUGAAACAUUUAGUACACAAUACUGUAACAGAGGUCAGCAGUUAUAAAAAUUGCAAUAUGGGUGUUGAUAAAGGCUUUUGACUGUUGUCAGCAACAAUAAAACACUGUCCUAUCUCUUCUUAGUUGUACAAAACUGCACUGCAAUCACUCUGUUAUCAUCCAGUCUUCCUUUGAAUAACAACUAGUGGGUUUCUUAUAAACCAGAGAGCUUCUCAGAACAGAAAGUGAAAGUACAAAAACCUCUCUGGCCUGUUUGUUCUUUUAGCAGACUCAGUUAGUGUUUAACGCCACAGCAGCAGAAACGCAGCAGAGGUAACCAAAACAUGAGGAAUCCUGUAGCUAAAGUUCAGACAAUCACUACAGGGGAAACCUUUGGAGCAGAUGUGGAUCUGAUGAACCAAGUCAUCCAAAAGGAUACAAGUCGGGAUGCACAACACAUCAUCCUUUUCUGUCCAAUCACAUCUCGUGUUGGCUCAGAUGUGCAGGCAGCCCUGGAAAAAGUCCCAUAUGGUCGAAGAAUCAUCCUGGUUUUGAUGCACCACACCCGAGAUGCUGACUACUCAACGGCUGGGAUAAAGUGGUCAGAAUGCACUGAAAACGUUGUCCUGGAUGUUCACGUUUUCUUCCAUGAAAGUGUCCCAGGAUUACUGAGCUGUGCACAAAAUCACAAGGCAGUGUUGGAAAUAAGACAUUUUUUAGAAGGACACAAAAAGAAUUCAGAUCAGAAUUGGGCUUUGGUUGGGUAUGGCUAUUGGCUAUUGUGUUGUGUUUUUUCUUGGGUCUUGUCUGAUGGCAGGUUUUGGAUGAGGCUCUGGAACUGGUUCUGGCAUCUAGACAGGCUUUGGGUGAGGCUUGUGAUUUGGUUUGGUACUCAGCUUUCUCGUUUGAUUUCAGUUUUGCUGUUCUAUGUAAGAAAACCAAAAGUUAUUAAAGACAGACUUCCUUAAUACCAUCAUUAACUCUACAACUUGUUUGUAAAUACGAGUUGUUUAAGUCUCUUACACACAGAGUCAUUACAAAAUUGUCUAUAUGAACACAGGCACAGUUAUAGGCAGAGACUAGAGAACAGCUCAGCCAGAGUUACUAUAUUUGUAGUCACAGAUACUUAUCUUACUUGCCUCAUAGGCUCCAAAGGCAUUUAUUAUGACAUUACAUUGAAAUAAAAAUAUCUUACUCUGCAAAACAGUAUCUUGCAAUUGUUAGACUAUGUCAAAAUAAAGUGUUUAUGAUUGUGAUGCUGGUAUAAUAAACUGUCUAUUUAGUUGCUUUUUACUGAAGGUCAACUAGACCCUUUGAAUGAAUGAAUUCUCGUGACUCUUCUUAAUGCAUGUUGUAACCUUGAAUUAGACCUCUGCCUAUAACUAUUUCAACAUGAUGUUUGGGAACUGUUUCCUCUGAAAAAUGAUCAAUAAAGUAUAAAGAACAAUAGAAUA
Molecule: RNA transcript, 3632 nt
Organism: Xiphophorus hellerii (green swordtail)
Lineage: Eukaryota; Metazoa; Chordata; Actinopteri; Cyprinodontiformes; Poeciliidae
Exons: 7
Source: RefSeq, a predicted model, not a curated record